CGACCACCCUACCUCACCCUACCUCACCUCACCUCACCUCACCUCAGCGCAGUGCAGACCGUAACGCUGCUCGCCAUCGCAACCGUCGCUUGCCGCCGCCACCGUCACAUCCUCACAGUCAAAUGAAGACUCUGUUUCUCAACCUCUCCUUGAUCUGGUAGAUUCAUUCAAAGAAUGAUAUAUGUAUACUAAAUACUCUCACACAAAGCAUCUUGGAACAGAUUUCCAGAGUCUACGGGAACCAGGUGAUUUUCCCUCUAAGUUGUACUUGUUUCUUCAUGAUAUGCAUUCCCUUUGCUGCUGGUAAAGUUUGAAGGUCAAUUGGCCUCAUAAGCACUAAAAACAGAGUGAGAUAAAUAAAGCACAAGAUGUUUAAUUUGUUUCUACAUUCAUAAUUUUUAGGCGUAUCUAAACCUAUAUAUGAAUUAUGUGUAUUUUGAUAACUAUGGAUAGAUUUUGGGUUAUUUUAGGGACAUAAAAAAUUUUAAAAAUAAUAAAAAUAAACAUAUUCUGAAUUUUCUGUAAAUUUUGAUUGAUGUUUUGUGAAACUAUUGUGUUACAUUUUAAUAUGUAUAAGAAGUUUGAACCCAUUAGCUUCAAUAAGUUUUAAUGGGGUAUGUGGCUCCACCCUUUGUGUGUGUCGGUGUGAGUAUAUAUGGUUUCUCUAUGUAUGGAAUUGUUUGCCAUCUCAAAGUUUAGCUGCAAAGAUUUAUGGUAAUAAUUUCCAGAAAAUCGAAAAAUUGAUUCCAGCUUGUGAAAAUAAAUUCAUGACAGAAAUGGAGAAGAAGAGGAGGACCAAAAUUUAUUUUGAAAAUAGUUUCUAGAAUAGUUCUCAAAUUUGUAACAUGUGAACUUGUACAAGCUUAAUUUUAGCUUUAUUUGCUUUACUAAGAGGUGGAUCUUUCAAGCGUAUUAUUCAAGAAAUUGUCAAAAGGCUCAAAAGCGUAUUAUCAUUUGUUGUUGCUAGGUGAUAAAGAACUUGAACUCUUGCCAUUAAGUGAGAAACUAAACUCUAGUUUGUUAUCAUUGGUCAUUUAUAUUCAUAUUCUUAGUUGCUUUCGGUUCCAAACCCAAAAAUGACUUCAUUACUAAAGAAUGUGUGUACACCAUUCCUUAGCCUUAGGCCUGUCCUUUGUUUUAUUUUUUUAAAUUUCACCUCAAAUUGGUCUGAAGUUUAUAAAAUCAGGAGUAAUCUAAAUUCAUUGAAUAAAGAUAACAUCGAGAAUCGAGUCAAUGGCUAUUGGUAUUGGAAUUGGAUAAAUUUUUCAAUAUCAGUAAUGGGUUUUAAACCUUGCAAAAAUGAGGCAAGCUAAAAGUUUUUAGUGGAGAUCCAAAUAGCAGGGUUUUGUCAUCUCAAUAUAUAUAUAUAUAUAUAUUCUUGGUGAAAAAAUGUGAAAAUUUGAGUUUAGGUGAGUCGAUUCGGUUGAUAGGUUCCCUUUUGAAGGUUAGCUUUAUAAACUGUACUGAUGCAUUUCAUUUGUAAUCUUGAAUUUCAAGUUUAGAGAUAAUUUGAUUUGCAUGCUUUGGUCAUAGUUGGGACAAUGUUUGUUGAGUUAAUUCAAGUAGAGUUUGUGCCAUGGCUUUGGUAAUGAUGCAGGCAGUUGAAUAAUGUGAUAAGAUCACUCUAAUCUGACAGUUAAGAAUGGUGCUUCUUGGACUUCUGUUGCAACUUGGUAUUUUAAUUGAUUUAUGGCAUGCAAUAUAUCUUAUGACUUUAUUAUUUCUUCCUCUUUAGACCAGAUGCUGGAAGUGUCUAUCAUGAAAAUUCUUGUUCUUUUGUUGCUGAUGUAGGUCAUUUAACUUGGAAAAUGGUUUGGCAUCUCACACAAAGGCCAAUCACAGUGCCGGACAAUACAUGGAUUUAAAGAGAGAGCUUCUGAGUUCUAAUUAGAAAAUCUAUGCUCAGUCUAUUAGGUCAAGAAUGAGGAAGAGGAAUUCAGCAUUGGGCAUCUUUCUGUUCUGAUGAUGAGUGUUAAAAACAACACACAGGUAAUGCAUACUUUUCUUCCCUGUAAAUUGAGGAUAAUGUUGUACCAGUGAAAUUUUGAUAGAAGGGUCAUAGUCUUUAAAUGGUUAAAAGCGGUUGUCCUUGUGGCAUGUAGAUUCAGCUAUAUUGUUUUAGGAAUGUAAACUGCAAUUACACAACAGAUGUUUUGCAACAUAUGCAGCUCUACAUCAAAAUCCAUGAAAAUCCCCUCUGUAUAUCUAUAAAAAGAAAUCCUUUUGCUGAAUGAAGUGACCAAUUUUUCUCCUGUAGUUAAAAUUUUUCUCAGUAGUUGUUGGGUUUACCACUGUAUUGAAUCAGUAAUUUUUUUUCGCAAAACAUGACAAUUGCCGACCAAGAGUUUUGGUC
Non-coding RNA from Camellia sinensis, 2353 nucleotides. NCBI's taxonomy places the organism in Eukaryota, Viridiplantae, Streptophyta, Magnoliopsida, Ericales, Theaceae. The record is from RefSeq and is a predicted model, not a curated record.